GUGCUUGCUUUGGCAGCACAUAUAGUAAAAUUGGAAUGAUACAGAGAAGACUGGCAUGGCCUCUGCGCAAAGAUGACACACAAAUUUGUGAAGAAUCCAUGGUCUUC
This 107-nucleotide small nuclear RNA is filed under the name Phascolarctos cinereus (koala). Lineage: Eukaryota; Metazoa; Chordata; Mammalia; Diprotodontia; Phascolarctidae. The record is from RNAcentral.